UACGAAGGGGGCUAGCGUUGUUCGGAUUUACUGGGCGUAAAGCGCACGUAGGCGGAUCGUUAAGUCGGGGGUGAAAUCCUGGAGCUCAACUCCAGAACUGCCUUCGAUACUGGCGAUCUCGAGUCCGGAAGAGGUGAGUGGAACUCCUAGUGUAGAGGUGGAAUUCGUAGAUAUUAGGAAGAACACCAGUGGCGAAGGCGGCUCACUGGUCCGGUACUGAUGCUGAGGUGCGAAAGCGUGGGGAGCAAACAGG
This 253-nucleotide ribosomal RNA is filed under the name uncultured bacterium. RNAcentral describes it as "partial 16S ribosomal RNA". It matches the Rfam family "Bacterial small subunit ribosomal RNA", at positions 524 to 776 of the family's 1533-position model. The record is from RNAcentral.